UAGUCCACGCCGUAAACGAUGAGUGCUAAGUGUUAGAGGGUUUCCGCCCUUUAGUGCUGCAGCAAACGCAUUAAGCACUCCGCCUGGGGAGUACGGCCGCAAGGCUGAAACUCAAAGGAAUUGACGGGGGCCCGCACAAGCGGUGGAGCAUGUGGUUUAAUUCGAAGCAACGCGAAGAACCUUACCAGGUCUUGACAUCCUUUGCCACUCCUAGAGAUAGGAUUUUCCCCUUCGGGGGACAAAGUGACAGGUGGUGCAUGGUUGUCGUCAGCUCGUGUCGUGAGAUGUUGGGUUAAGUCCCGCAACGAGCGCAACCCUUGUUCUUAGUUGCCAGCAUUUAGUUGGGCACUCUAAGGAGACUGCCGGUGACAAACCGGAGGAAGGUGGGGAUGACGUCAAAUCAUCAUGCCCCUUAUGACCUGGGCUACACACGUGCUACAAUGGAUGGUACAAGGGGUCGCAAAACCGCGAGGUCGAGCCAAUCCCAUAAACAUUCUCAGUUCGGAUUGUAGGCUGCAACUCGCCUACAUGAAGUCGGAAUCGCUAGUAAUCGUGAAUCAGCGAUGUCACGGUGAAUACGUUCCCGGGUCUUGUACACACCGCCCGUCACACCAUGGGAGUUGAUUGCACCAGAAGUAGGUAGCCUAACCGCAAGGAGGGCGCUUACCACGGUGUGGUCAAUGACUGGGGUGUAGCCUAACCGCAAGGAGGGCGCUUACCACGGUGUGGUCAAUGACUGGGGUGAAGUCGUAACAAGGUAACCGUAAAUCGUCGACCUG
This 779-nucleotide ribosomal RNA is filed under the name uncultured Bacillota bacterium. Its description in RNAcentral is "bacterial SSU rRNA". It matches the Rfam family "Bacterial small subunit ribosomal RNA", at positions 791 to 1533 of the family's 1533-position model. Lineage: Bacteria; Bacillati; Bacillota. The record is from RNAcentral.